CAGAAUAUAGCGCAGUGGUAGCGUAUUUGCUUUGGGAGUAAAUGGUCGUGGGUUCGAGUCCUACUAUUCUGA
Molecule: transfer RNA, 72 nt
Filed under: Jenufa minuta
Lineage: Eukaryota; Viridiplantae; Chlorophyta; Chlorophyceae
Description: tRNA-Pro
Rfam family: tRNA
About the family: Transfer RNA (tRNA) molecules are approximately 80 nucleotides in length. Their secondary structure includes four short double-helical elements and three loops (D, anti-codon, and T loops). Further hydrogen bonds mediate the characteristic L-shaped molecular structure. tRNAs have two regions of fundamental functional importance: the anti-codon, which is responsible for specific mRNA codon recognition, and the 3' end, to which the tRNAs corresponding amino acid is attached (by aminoacyl-tRNA synthetases). tRNAs cope with the degeneracy of the genetic code in two manners: having more than one tRNA (with a specific anti-codon) for a particular amino acid; and 'wobble' base-pairing, i.e. permitting non-standard base-pairing at the 3rd anti-codon position.
Source: RNAcentral